This 1474-nucleotide long non-coding RNA is filed under the name Bemisia tabaci. RNAcentral's name for it is "lncRNA ENSSSA3NGG002255". The record is from RNAcentral. Lineage: Eukaryota; Metazoa; Arthropoda; Insecta; Hemiptera; Aleyrodidae.
GUGGCCGGGAGCCGCUUCGCUGAUCGCGACACCCUGCUCCGAUCAGUCAGUAAAAGCCCGCUGCCGUUCUUCUCGUGCGCCGCGUCCACUCGUCCCCUUUCAAAACAACAUUGAUAACUUAUCACAGUGUUCCGGGUUUUGGCGCCCCGAUUUUCAAAAAAAUUAAUUGUACGCUCAUUUUCUGAGAAUUGAACUUUACUCCGUUUUAAACGCGUAUGUGUGCGGAUAUUCGGAAUCAUACACAAUCCGUUUCUUGAAAGUUUGUUUGGGUUUCAAGUGCGGCAGAGAUUCAACCCGGAUCUCAGUUUUCUAUCGAGGGCAGUUUUGUGAAAUUUACUUGAUUGCCAAAUCAUUGCCGGAUUUCUAGUGCUUCUGAAGUAGACUGGGUCUAUACUUUAUGCCAUUGGUAGUUCGACAUCACUUCUACUAGUGCGCGAUUAUUUAAGUGUUUGAAAUUAGUUGCUCCUCGGAAUCCUGACUUUUCCUUCGUGUUUCUUGUGCUGAAGUGCAGUUUCUUUCCUAAACGACUUUCGGUCUUUCCACCAUGACGUAUCGACGUCAACCAAGUUCGUUUCAUGGCUCCUAAAUUUUCCGUGGCCCCCAAAUCGCUUCACAAUUCCACAUGCUAGCACCCUCCAAGCCCGAAGCAGUUAGUAUGACCGUGUUAAACCUAAACCAACGUCUGAACCAGAGUUUCCAGCCGCCGAUGAAACCCAAAGACAUGGACGAGCCGGAAUCCAAGGCGGAAGAACUGCGAAACUCGGACCUCCUCCGCAACUCGGACCUUCUUCGCAACUCCCGCAAGUCAGGCGGCCUCAACAACAACGGCUCAGGCAGCCCCAACUCCCGUUCCGGUAUCAGCUUUAGCGUCGACUCCCUUCUAGCCGAUACGAGGCCGAAGAAACUCGACUCGGAAAACGAACGGCUGGAGGACCUACGCUCCCGUCUCUAUCUGGAUAACUUGAAGGAGCCACGUUCGCCCUCGAGGUCGUACCUAGACAAUUUGAAGGGUUCGCAAUCGCCCUCCAGAACGAGGCUCUCGCCGAUGGAGUCGGAAGAAGACCUCAAGGCGGAGGAUGGCGAGGACAUCGACAUGGAGUCCGGCCUGGAAGACGAAGACGAGGGUAGUUUAGUCGACGUGGAAGCUCUGAGGGACGAAUCCCUGCGGAAUUCGGCCAACUCGCCGGAGGACAAUUCAAGGGGCUCUUCGCCCGCGGGUCUCCACUCCUUUCAGCCGGGUUCCAAUUCGGCCAACCUCAUGGCCGCAGCCAGGCUCAUGUUCGGGCCCCACUCGACGACCCCAUCAGGCCGACCCCCUAUAAUUCCGCCCUGGCCGUCGCUGCUGCGGCCUACGCUGGCGUCCACCAGCACCCCUCAUGGCCUGGCCACUACCCCGGAUCUCAGAUGUUCUCCGGAUUUGGAUCGGCGCUCGCCGGGUCUCCAGAUUCGAAUAACGGAGAGCCACCAAAACUGA